UACGGGGGGGGCAAGCGUUGUUCGGAAUUACUGGGCGUAAAGGGCUCGUAGGCGGCCAACUAAGUCAUACGUGAAAUCCCUCGGCUUAACUGGGGAACUGCGUCUGAUACUGGAUGGCUUGAGUUUGGGAGAGGGAUGCGGAAUUCCAGGUGUAGCGGUGAAAUGCGUAGAUAUCUGGAGGAACACCGGUGGCGAAGGCGGCAUCCUGGACCAAUACUGACACUGAGGAGCGAAAGCCAGGGGAGCAAACGGG
RNAcentral lists this ribosomal RNA (253 nucleotides) under uncultured bacterium. RNAcentral's name for it is "partial 16S ribosomal RNA". It matches the Rfam family "Bacterial small subunit ribosomal RNA", at positions 524 to 776 of the family's 1533-position model. The record is from RNAcentral.